This is a non-coding RNA of Caretta caretta (loggerhead turtle), 592 nucleotides long. NCBI's taxonomy places the organism in Eukaryota, Metazoa, Chordata, Testudines, Cheloniidae. The record is from the annotation of a RefSeq genome assembly.
GGGUAACAGUAUUUUUCUUUUGACAAAAUUGAGCACCAUUAACGUUGAUAACUCUCCUUCCUGAAAAGGUACAGCAAGUUAAGGAGACAUGGUGGGAUGUCUGGAAGCCCUCUUUGCUUGCUUCUUCCCUGCUGUUCUGUGGGCCAUUCACCUGGAGCAGGAGCAGAUCUCUGUCACAAAGCAGCCACUUCAAGGCAGCUCUGCCAAAUUCACUUGCAAGGUGUUUGGUGGAUCGGACUCUACCUACAUCCACUGGUACCGAGCCCCAGCUGGAGAGGCCCCACACAGGCUGCUGUACCUCACUCUCUCUGGGUCAGAGUUAAAGCGAGAGGCAGUCUUCUCCAGUGAGAAGUUCUCAGCCUAUGGGAGACAAAGCAUCUCUAACUUGUUGGUGCACAAGCUGGAAGAGACAGACAGCGGCCGCUAUUACUGUGCCACAUGGGAUUUUACACAGUGCCACAAGCUUCCUGCAACCCUGCCCAAAAACCACCACAGCUCUACGGAGAGGCCCAAGUACUGGUACAAUCUCAACUAUCCAUCACCAGGGCAGAAGAUAGAACUGCAUGAACUGACUGCCAUGUUUCUGGCAUAA